CAGUCGCCGCGGGAAUACGAAGGGUGCAAGCGUUACUCGGAAUUACUGGGCGUAAAGCGUGUGUAGGUGGUUGUUUAAGUCUGUCGUGAAAGCCCUGGGCUCAACCUGGGAAUUGCGAUGGAUACUGGGCGACUAGAGUGCGGUAGAGGAUAGUGGAAUUUCCGGUGUAGCAGUGAAAUGCGUAGAGAUCGGAAGGAACAUCUGUGGCGAAAGCGGCUCACUGGACCAUAACUGACGCUGAGGCACGAAAGCUAGGGGAGCAAACAGGAUUAGAGACCCGAGUAGUCCCUGUCUCUUAUAC
RNAcentral lists this ribosomal RNA (301 nucleotides) under uncultured bacterium. RNAcentral describes it as "partial 16S ribosomal RNA". It matches the Rfam family "Bacterial small subunit ribosomal RNA", at positions 509 to 807 of the family's 1533-position model. The record is from RNAcentral.